RNAcentral lists this ribosomal RNA (253 nucleotides) under uncultured bacterium. RNAcentral describes it as "partial 16S ribosomal RNA". It matches the Rfam family "Bacterial small subunit ribosomal RNA", at positions 524 to 776 of the family's 1533-position model. The record is from RNAcentral.
UACGGAGGGUGCAAGCGUUAUCCGGAUUUAUUGGGUCUAAAGGGUCCGUAGGCGGAUCGUUAAGUCAGCGGUGAAAGCCCACAGCUCAACUGUGGAAUUGCCGUUGAUACUGGCGAUCUUGAGUGCAAGUGAAGUUGGCGGAAUGUGCGGUGUAGCGGUGAAAUGCUUAGAUAUCGCAUAGAACACCGAUUGCGAAGGCAGCUCACUACACGGCGAUUGACGCUGAGGCACGAAAGUGCGGGGAUCAAACAGG